GAUGAACGCUGGCGGCGUGCCUAAUACAUGCAAGUCGAGCGAACGGACGAGAAGCUUGCUUCUCUGAUGUUAGCGGCGGACGGGUGAGUAACACGUGGAUAACCUACCUAUAAGACUGGGAUAACUUCGGGAAACCGUAGCUAAUACCGGAUAAUAUUUUGAACCGCAUGGUUCAAAAGUGAAAGACGGUCUUGCUGUCACUUAUAGAUGGAUCCGCGCUGCAUUAGCUAGUUGGUAAGGUAACGGCUUACCAAGGCAACGAUGCAUAGCCGACCUGAGAGGGUGAUCGGCCACACUGGAACUGAGACACGGUCCAGACUCCUACGGGAGGCAGCAGUAGGGAAUCUUCCGCAAUGGGCGAAAGCCUGACGGAGCAACGCCGCGUGAGUGAUGAAGGUCUUCGGAUCGUAAAACUCUGUUAUUAGGGAAGAACAUAUGUGUAAGUAACUGUGCACAUCUUGACGGUACCUAAUCAGAAAGCCACGGCUAACUACGUGCCAGCAGCCGCGGUAAUACGUAGGUGGCAAGCGUUAUCCGGAAUUAUUGGGCGUAAAGCGCGCGUAGGCGGUUUUUUAGUCUGAUGUGAAAGCCCACGGCUCAACCGUGGAGGGUCAUUGGAAACUGGAAAACUUGAGUGCAGAAGAGGAAAGUGGAAUUCCAUGUGUAGCGGUGAAAUGCGCAGAGAUAUGGAGGAACACCAGUGGCGAAGGCGACUUUCUGGUCUGUAACUGACGCUGAUGUGCGAAAGCGUGGGGAUCAAACAGGAUUAGAUACCCUGGUAGUCUACGCCGUAAACGAUGAGUGCUAAGUGUUAGGGGGUUUCCGCCCCUUAGUGCUGCAGCUAACGCAUUAAGCACUCCGCCUGGGGAGUACGACCGCAAGGUUGAAACUCAAAGGAAUUGACGGGGACCCGCACAAGCGGUGGAGCAUGUGGUUUAAUUCGAAGCAACGCGAAGAACCUUACCAAAUCUUGACAUCCUUUGACAACUCUAGAGAUAGAGCCUUCCCCUUCGGGGGACAAAGUGACAGGUGGUGCAUGGUUGUCGUCAGCUCGUGUCGUGAGAUGUUGGGUUAAGUCCCGCAACGAGCGCAACCCUUAAGCUUAGUUGCCAUCAUUAAGUUGGGCACUCUAAGUUGACUGCCGGUGACAAACCGGAGGAAGGUGGGGAUGACGUCAAAUCAUCAUGCCCCUUAUGAUUUGGGCUACACACGUGCUACAAUGGACAAUACAAAGGGCAGCGAAACCGCGAGGUCAAGCAAAUCCCAUAAAGUUGUUCUCAGUUCGGAUUGUAGUCUGCAACUCGGCUACAUGAAGCUGGAAUCGCUAGUAAUCGUAGAUCAGCAUGCUACGGUGAAUACGUUCCCGGGUCU
RNAcentral lists this ribosomal RNA (1371 nucleotides) under uncultured bacterium. RNAcentral describes it as "bacterial SSU rRNA". It matches the Rfam family "Bacterial small subunit ribosomal RNA", at positions 28 to 1381 of the family's 1533-position model. The record is from RNAcentral.